GACGAACGCUGGCGGCGUGCUUAACACAUGCAAGUCGAGCGGUAAGGCCCUUUCGGGGGUACACGAGCGGCGAACGGGUGAGUAACACGUGGGUGACCUGCCCUCAGCUCUGGGAUAAGCCUGGGAAACUGGGUCUAAUACCGGAUAGGACUACUGGAUGCAUGUCUGGUGGUGGAAAGCCAGUUACUUUUGUUCUGGCGGUGGGGGAUGGGCCCGCGGCCUAUCAGCUUGUUGGGGGGUGAUGGCCUACCAAGGCGGUGACGGGUAGCCGGCCUGAGAGGGCGACCGGGCCACACUGGGACUGAGACACGGCCCAGACUCCUACGGGAGGCAGCAGUGGGGAAUAUUGCGCGAUGGGCGGAAGCCUGACGCAGCGACGCCGCGUGGGG
This 389-nucleotide ribosomal RNA is filed under the name uncultured bacterium. Its description in RNAcentral is "bacterial SSU rRNA". It matches the Rfam family "Bacterial small subunit ribosomal RNA", at positions 28 to 406 of the family's 1533-position model. The record is from RNAcentral.